This 243-nucleotide long non-coding RNA is filed under the name Elaeis guineensis (African oil palm). RNAcentral describes it as "long non-coding RNA (EGUI_LNC055759)". The record is from RNAcentral. Lineage: Eukaryota; Viridiplantae; Streptophyta; Magnoliopsida; Arecales; Arecaceae.
CUAGAACCGCUAGAGGAGGAAGUGUUGGAGGACAUUUUGAAUCAAAUAAAAAUCUUGAAAAAAUUAGAAAAAAUAAGAAACAAGGCGCUCGCAGAGAAACUGAACGGGCGGAAUGUAGAGGAGGAAAAAUGGAAGAACAGCAAGAAAAAGAAAGGUUUCGAAACUAACCUAGGCUGGUCCAAAAGGUGCAGGAGGGCAGCAAAGGCGAUGGAGGUCGACCUGAAGGGCACCUAAGACUGAGAG